UAAACUCAAAAGAAUUAUUGGAUCGGAUAGUUUGUGUCAAGUCUGGUUCAAGGAAGUCAUUGUUCAACGUUUUUCAAGAUGGAAUAUGCCAUCCUAAGAUGGCAUUGGUGAUUGAUGAUCGUUUAAAAGUGUGGGAUGAGAAAGAUCAACCUCGGGUGCAUGUUGUUCCUGCAUUUGCUCCAUACUAUGCUCCACAAGCUGAAGCAAAUAAUGCUGUUCCAGUGUUGUGUGUUGCAAGAAAUGUUGCCUGCAAUGUCAGAGGUGGUUUCUUCAAAGAAUUUGAUGAGGGUCUUAUACAAAGGAUAACUGAGAUUUCAUAUGAAGAUGAUAUGAGCGACAUCCCUUCUCCCCCUGAUGUGAGCAACUAUUUAGUUUCAGAGGAUGAUACUGCUAACUCAAAUGGACACAAAGAUCCACUUUUGUUUGAUGGCAUGG
Molecule: unclassified non-coding RNA, 435 nt
Filed under: Hevea brasiliensis (rubber tree)
Lineage: Eukaryota; Viridiplantae; Streptophyta; Magnoliopsida; Malpighiales; Euphorbiaceae
Source: RNAcentral